Non-coding RNA from Cyanistes caeruleus (blue tit), 245 nucleotides. The record is from RefSeq and is a predicted model, not a curated record. NCBI's taxonomy places the organism in Eukaryota, Metazoa, Chordata, Aves, Passeriformes, Paridae.
AAAUGGUGGAAUGAGAAGUUCCUUCCUGGAAUGAAAUUCCUGUCUUGCAUCAACGGAUAGCCACAGGAGGGAGACCAAAGCUGCAGCAGCCCAACCUAUUCUCACCAUGCCUGUGUGAUUUCCUGUGCUGCUGCCUGCAGACAGACGAGGCACGGCGCUGGUCUGCCAAGGAGCUCCUGCAGCAUCCAUUUGUAACAUCAGCCAAGGCAGCAUCCACCCUGUCACCACUCAUUAUUUCAUUGAAG